This is a long non-coding RNA of Gorilla gorilla gorilla (western lowland gorilla), 460 nucleotides long. RefSeq lists it as uncharacterized. The record is from RefSeq and is a predicted model, not a curated record. NCBI's taxonomy places the organism in Eukaryota, Metazoa, Chordata, Mammalia, Primates, Hominidae. The transcript is spliced from 4 exons.
UGGAAUCUAGGCAGUUGCACAACCCUUUUAAUGUCAGUCUUGGAAUGAAGACUUUAUGCAUCACUAGCUGUGUGCAUGUAUAGUGAGGGGGAUACUGUUUCCCUUUCUGAGAAGAUAAUCGAUGACCCUCCAAGACUUGAGAGGAGUGACCUGAGUUUAGGAGAUAGUAGAACCCACCUAGAUCAUGGUCGUGCCAGCAAAUCCGUGUGAAUGCCACUGGAUUAAAAGAAGGAAGUUUAGUUGAAUGGUUACUACCCUCAUUCACAGGAGCAGUUAUCAGCACUUCCAUUGAGGCAACGGCAGUGGGAAAAGGAAGGCAAAUAUUUAUUCACCCAUCCAUAAACUCAUAAAAGAGUGAGCUGAUGAACUGAACACAAGUUUUGGUGUAAUCAACAAGCUGCCUGGAAUAUGCAUGAACUGCCCUAAUUUUAUGGAUGCCUUUACUUCUGAAAGCAUCUUC